Molecule: long non-coding RNA, 745 nt
Filed under: Actinia tenebrosa (Australian red waratah sea anemone)
Lineage: Eukaryota; Metazoa; Cnidaria; Anthozoa; Actiniaria; Actiniidae
Description: uncharacterized LOC116304507, transcript variant X1
Source: RNAcentral
AGAAAACAUGGCGGAUUCUUGAAGUUUUGGAAAGAGAUCAAUAAAAUGGCUAUUAAGAUGGUGAGGAACAAUACAUGUAUAUGAUUAUAAUUGAACCUACUCUGCUCUCUCAAUCUUGUUGGUAACCAUAUUUGCUGUCUUAGAAGAAGAAUGAAGAUGAUGACUGACUGACUUGGUGAGUAAACUACAUACCUGAUAAUCAGUAAUAAACUGCUGCUUGGGAACAUGAUUAGACUUGUGCGGCAACAAUGCAAGUCCAUAUUGUUAUGAAGGUCACAGGGUCAUCAGGUUGAUAUUCAGGUCAACACCCAUACAGCAACAAGUCAAGAUGCAGUAUGGUAAUGAGGUUCAGAUGUCAGGUAUCGGCAGCCAUCUUGUUACAGAUCACUGGACCGUCUUAUGGAGAGUUUCACGUAUUGACACACGUCGAACCGCGAAGGAAGCAAGAUUCGAAUGGCACAAGUCACACCAAGAGACUGGAUACUAGCAUUUUACACAGGGAUCCCACAAAAAACGAUAUUUUUUAUCAAAAAUUCGGAUAUUUUCUAGCAAUAUUUUUAGCCCAAAAGGUAUAAAACCACUAGAAGAGGCUAUUUUAGCACUUAAUGGAGGAUAAAAAUCCGAAAAAACGCUUGUUUUAGGGCAAAAACACGAAUAUGUUAAUUUAGUCACGUGACCAGUCACGUGCCCAUCAAUUUUGUGUUUUUUUGGGUGUGAUUUUUUAAUUUUUUGUGACAAAAAUUUU